AUGGAGGAGGUGCCAUCCGAGGAUGAUGAUUUACUUCUAUCAAUUUCUUUUGGCCCCUUGACGCGGGAGGCGCUCUUGUCGUCCCUGGAUUUUCUUUCUACAGACCCUGAAAGCACAGCAAGAUUGGUGUCCUCUCAAGAUGUCCCAUCGUCAAACCCUGAAGCUGGAGGCAUAAUGGUCUCAUCACAGGAACUACCGUCGUCGUCAAACCCUAAUAGUCCAGUGGUUGAACUUAUUAUUUUUCUUCUUUUUCUGAAAGCAGAAAGUGGUAAUGUUGUUAAGAAGUACCAAGACACUGACAAGUUGAUAGUUCCCAGAUGGGUGACGAGCAAGAUCCGUGAUGGAAAUAUUGAUUCCAAUGUGCAAAAUUGGUUCACGAGAUCAGGUGCUGAUGGGUUUGACCAAGUUUGGGAGCUUCUUUUCCCUACCUUUGAUCUGUCGUCAUUUGUGGCUACCAUGAAGCCUAGCGAAGAAUCUGGGCAUUGGUGCUUGAUUGUUCUGAAUUUGAGGUUCUGUCAUUUCAAGUGUCUUGAUUCACUCCGUGAUGAAACCUGGGGUGAUGCAGUUAGAUUCUUAAUGAAUAUGACAUAUAAUAUAAAGAAGCUUUGGAGGGAGUCGAGUGUAGACAGGUCCAAAACGUUCUUCCCGGCAUGGUUGUGGAUUCUUUAUGCUACAAAACUGCAAGACCUAUCAUUGCCGGGAGGAUGGUGCAAUUGA
This 717-nucleotide ribosomal RNA is filed under the name Triticum aestivum (bread wheat). RNAcentral's name for it is "partial small subunit ribosomal RNA". The record is from RNAcentral. Lineage: Eukaryota; Viridiplantae; Streptophyta; Magnoliopsida; Poales; Poaceae.